Molecule: transfer RNA, 65 nt
Filed under: Dipodomys ordii (Ord's kangaroo rat)
Lineage: Eukaryota; Metazoa; Chordata; Mammalia; Rodentia; Heteromyidae
Rfam family: tRNA
About the family: Transfer RNA (tRNA) molecules are approximately 80 nucleotides in length. Their secondary structure includes four short double-helical elements and three loops (D, anti-codon, and T loops).
Source: Rfam by way of RNAcentral
GGUGGCUCAGUGGUAAAGUGCUUGCCUCGCAUGCAUGAGGCUCUGGGUUCGAUUCCUCAGCACCA